Molecule: ribosomal RNA, 769 nt
Filed under: Agaricus praeclarefibrillosus
Lineage: Eukaryota; Fungi; Basidiomycota; Agaricomycetes; Agaricales; Agaricaceae
Description: partial large subunit ribosomal RNA
Rfam family: Eukaryotic large subunit ribosomal RNA
Source: RNAcentral
AAUCUAGAGAAGUAAUGCCCGUGCUGGACCGUGUAUAAGUCUCCUGGGAUGGGGCGUCAUAGAGGGUGAGAAUCCCGUCUUUGACACGGACUACCAGUGCAUUGUGGUAUGCUCUCAAAGAGUCGAGUUGUUUGGGAAUGCAGCUCAAAAUGGGUGGUAAAUUCCAUCUAAAGCUAAAUAUUGGCGAGAGACCGAUAGCGAACAAGUACCGUGAGGGAAAGAUGAAAAGAACUUUGGAAAGAGAGUUAAACAGUACGUGAAAUUGCUGAAAGGGAAACGCUUGAAGUCAGUCGCGUUGGCCAGGGAUCAGCCUUGCUUCUGCAUGGUGUACUUUCUGGUUGACGGGUCAGCAUCAAUUUUGACCGCUGGAAAAGGUCCUGGGGAAUGUGGCAGCUCCGGCUGUGUUAUAGCCCCUGGUCGCAUACAGUGGUUGGGAUUGAGGAACUCAGCACGCCGCAAGGCCGGGUUUCGACCACGUUCGUGCUUAGGAUGCUGGCAUAAUGGCUUUAAGCGACCCGUCUUGAAACACGGACCAAGGAGUCUAACAUGCCUGCGAGUAUUUGGGUGGAAAACCCGAGUGCGCAAUGAAAGUGAAAGUUGAGAUCCCUGUCGCGGGGAGCAUCGACGCCCGGACCAGAACUUUUGGGACGGAUCCGCGGUGGAGCAUGUAUGUUGGGACCCGAAAGAUGGUGAACUAUGCCUGAAUAGGGUGAAGCCAGAGGAAACUCUGGUGGAGGCUCGUAGCGAUUCUGACGUGCAAAUCGAUCGU